Molecule: ribosomal RNA, 520 nt
Filed under: uncultured Glomus
Lineage: Eukaryota; Fungi; Glomeromycota; Glomeromycetes; Glomerales; Glomeraceae
Description: SSU rRNA
Rfam family: Eukaryotic small subunit ribosomal RNA
Source: RNAcentral
AGCAGCCGCGGUAAUUCCAGCUCCGAUAGCGUAUAUUAAAGUUGUUGCAGUUAAAAAGCUCGUAGUUGAAUUUCGGGGUUAGUAGGUUGGUCGUGCCUAUGGUAUGUACUGGCUUUACUGAUUCCUCCUUCUUGAAGAACUGUAAUGUCAUUAAUUUGGUGUUGCAGGGACACAGGACUGUUACUUUGAAAAAUUAGAGUGUUUAAAGCAGGCUAACGCUUGAAUACAUUAGCAUGGAAUAAUGAAAUAGGACGUUUGAUCCUAUUUUGUUGGUUUCUAGGAUUGACGUAAUGAUUAAUAGGGAUAGUUGGGGGCAUUAGUAUUCAAUUGUCAGAGGUGAAAUUCUUGGAUUUAUUGAAGACUAACUACUGCGAAAGCAUUUGCCAAGGAUGUUUUCAUUAAAUCAAGAACGAAAGUUAGGGGAUCGAAGACGAUCAGAUACCGUCGUAGUCUUAAACCAUAAACUAUGCCGACUAGGGAUCGGAUGAUGUUAAUUUUUAAUGUACUCAUUCGGCGCCUU